ACUCCUACGGGAGGCAGCAGUGGGAAUAUUGCACAAUGGGCGCAAGCCUGAUGCAGCCAUGCCGCGUGUAUGAAGAAGGCCUUCGGGUUGUAAAGUACUUUCAGCAGUGAGGAAGGUGGAGUCGUUAAUAGCGGCCUCAUUUGACGUUAGCUGCAGAAGAAGCACCGGCUAACUCCGUGCUAGCAGCCGCGGUAAUACGUAGGGUGCAAGCGUUGUCCGGAAUUAUUGGGCGUAAAGAGCUCGUAGGCGGUUUGUCACGUCUGCUGUGAAAAUCCAAGGCUCAACCUUGGACUUGCAGUGGGUACGGGCAGGCUAGAGUGCGGUAGGGGAGAUGGGAAUUCCGUGGUGUAGCGGUGGAAUGCGCAGAUAUCAGGAGGAACACCAAUGGCGAAGGCACAUCUCUGGGGCCGUAACUGACGCUGAGGAGCGAAAGCGUGGGGAGCGAACAGGAUUAGAUACCCUGGUAGGUCAGU
RNAcentral lists this ribosomal RNA (473 nucleotides) under uncultured bacterium. RNAcentral's name for it is "bacterial SSU rRNA". It matches the Rfam family "Bacterial small subunit ribosomal RNA", at positions 335 to 798 of the family's 1533-position model. The record is from RNAcentral.